Molecule: ribosomal RNA, 465 nt
Filed under: uncultured Klebsiella sp.
Lineage: Bacteria; Pseudomonadati; Pseudomonadota; Gammaproteobacteria; Enterobacterales; Enterobacteriaceae
Description: bacterial SSU rRNA
Rfam family: Bacterial small subunit ribosomal RNA
Source: RNAcentral
CCUACGGGGUGCUGCAGUGGGGAAUAUUGCACAAUGGGCGCAAGCCUGAUGCAGCCAUGCCGCGUGUGUGAAGAAGGCCUUCGGGUUGUAAAGCACUUUCAGCGGGGAGGAAGGCGUUAAGGUUAAUAACCUUGUCGAUUGACGUUACCCGCAGAAGAAGCACCGGCUAACUCCGUGCCAGCAGCCGCGGUAAUACGGAGGGUGCAAGCGUUAAUCGGAAUUACUGGGCGUAAAGCGCACGCAGGCGGUCUGCCAAGUCGGAUGUGAAAUCCCCGGGCUCAACCUGGGAACUGCAUUCGAAACUGGCAGGCUAGAGUCUUGUAGAGGGGGGUAGAAUUCCAGGUGUAGCGGUGAAAUGCGUAGAGAUCUGGAGGAAUACCGGUGGCGAAGGCGGCCCCCUGGACAAAGACUGACGCUCAGGUGCAAAAGCGUGGGGAGCAAACAGGAUUAGAUACCCGAGUAGUC